GACGUAGGGCGCGAGCGUUGUCCGGAUUUAUUGGGCGUAAAGAGCUCGUAGGCGGCUCAUUGCGUCAACCGUGAAAACCAGCAGCUCAACUGUUGGCUUGCGGUUGAUACGGGUGGGCUGGAGUUCGGUAGGGGAGACUGGAAUUCCUGGUGUAGCGGUGAAAUGCGCAGAUAUCAGGAGGAACACCGGUGGCGAAGGCGGGUCUCUGGGCCUGAUCUGACGCUGAGGCGCGAAAGCUAGGGGAGCGAACAGG
Molecule: ribosomal RNA, 253 nt
Filed under: uncultured bacterium
Lineage: Bacteria
Description: partial 16S ribosomal RNA
Rfam family: Bacterial small subunit ribosomal RNA
Source: RNAcentral